UUUAAAUUUGGCACAGUCAAGUUGCUGCAGCCCUAAAGUGGCCAUUUUGCAAUGCUCUCCUGCUUGUUGCAUCUGUUUCUUCUCUUUUCAGGAGAAAGCCCAAAGACUACAUGAAGAUGGAGAAUUGAUCAGAGUUGGUUUGUCCAUGUUAUGGCAGAUACAUACCAGUGAAGGAUUGUGGAAUGCAGUGGGAGCGACCCAAUGAAGUCAAACAAAAAACUACACGGCAUACAUUUAUUUAUUAUUUGUAUUGCUGCAGUGCCUAGCAGCCCCAGUUAUGGAUCAGGAAACAUAACAAAAAGACAGUCCCUGCCCCCCAGAAGGCUUAUGCAACAUUAUUUUUGUGCAGAGGGGCUAAUAAGGCAAGGGGCUGAUCUACUUCUGUUGAUGUGACGGACUCACCAAUAGGAGAUGAGGGUGCUGAGAGCUUUCCAGGAAUCACUCAGCACUGGCACGAGAGAGGUGAUUUGGAACAGUUCACAAUGUCUGAUAUUUACAUGAAAAAGAGCAGAAUGAAUAUUCAAGGGUGGAGAAAAAGUUUCUUGCUUUCAUUUAAAUGUUUGAAAACAGCUCUAUUUUUGAAAAAUGUUGUACAUUUUCUUGCUGAAGUUUCUUGUAAGCUAUAUGAUCUCUGAAAUUUCCCCUGUGAUAUUGGGACAUGCCAACAUUGUCAAAAAAGGUUUGUUUCUUUUGAAAUCAAAGAGAAAAUUAUUGCACCAACACGUACACACAUGAAUAUCUGACUUACCUGAGUAAUUCUUUUCACUUAAUUGGAGCUACUCACUUGAGUAAAGUUAAUCAUGUACAUAUGUGUUUAUAGUCUUUGGUCCUUAAAGGAAAUAAUGUCUUCAAUGGUAUGAUGCUUUUGAGAGUACCUGCAUGGCUCAUAUUUUAUUUAAAAAUUGUUUAUGUAGAGAGUGCAGGUUUUCCGCUUAUAGAUAGAACAGUUUCAUUCCUGAAGUAUUGAGAGAAUAUGUAUCUAUUCUUCCCACAGUAGAGAAAAGAAACAAAUCUCACUGACCCUUGUGGGAGUGUUAUGGGGUUAAGGAGGAGUGCUACUGUGCUGUAGGAUAACUGGCACCCUACUACCAUAACUUCCAUAUAUUAGUGAAUUGAGAGCUUGUUAGAAUAAAAAUUUUGAUUCACUUUCACACUUAGUAGGUUGAAAGUUCACUCAGACAUGAGCUUUUCACUCACGGCUUUUUUAAUUCGUUGACUCUUCUGUCCAUGAGUAGAUCUUUUAUUGCCAGAAUGUGCUCUUGUGCAUAUUGAAGUCAAUAGCAAAACUCCCAGGGACCAGGAUUUUACUCUUGAAAGAUGUGUAUAUUCAGGGCAAAAAUUUGAUUAUAAAAUCUAAAUGUAUACAGCAUCUUACUUCCUUUAAAAGAAAAGCAAAAUUCAACAGGGCAAUAGCUCAACGUGUAUUAUAUCUGCUCUCUUACCAUCUCUACUUGUAAUACCAUAUUUUUGCAGUAAAACACCUCUAAAAUGUAAAAACCUAACAAUGAUUUAGGCAAUGUUUUAUAUUUUAGACAAUAGCCCCUCCAUUUUGCAAAGAGAGAGAGACAAGGUUUAAAUCACUGACUGACUGACUGUAUCUCCCAUUAACCUUAAUAGGAUUCGCAGGGCUAAAAACAGGUGCGAUACUUUAGAAACUCAGUUUGAGAAAAAUUGUCAGAGAUGAACCUUUUUGCAUUUUCUCUCUAUAAUUGCUACUUUACCACUAAAGCUAUUAUUUUGAUAUUUGGCACACUGCUCCUCUACUUCAAGAUGUGUUAACAGAUGCUUUGGCAGGUUCCAAAGCAUAAUAGUUUUCAAGCUGUGGCCAGUCAGAUGAGUAAUGCCAGUGGAGAGUGCCGGACUAUUUCAUUUCAGAAUUACAUGUAGUCAGAUGGUUAUGAUUUUGUGUAUCAUUUCAGCUAUCUUUAGUAUAAGCUUUAGAGAAUUUUCUUUCUUAUUUAGAUCAUAUUUUGUUACCAGGACAGGAAUGACCACUUUCCAAAUCUUUACAAAAUAUCUAUGUACAAAUAUAACCUGGAGUUUUUCCAUUCAGCUAUGUUCUACAGUUCUUGAUCAGGUGACAAGUUUGUGUAUAUUUCAUGCUUCAGGGUGUACUGGUGUGUAUGAAUUUUCUACAUUCAAGACUAAACUGAUAUACAGUCAGAAAACAACUAUAACAUAUUUAACUCUAAGCUUUAUUCCUUGGUUUGUACGUAGUAUGUUUCUUUUUUACAUUUCUAAAUAAGGCUAGUGCCAAUGUUCUGAGUGGUAGAUUUUGGUGAAGAGAAUAUAAUACACCUUCAUUCACUCCUGUGAGAUGCUGAGUGCCCCAAAACUCGCACCCAAGCCCAGCUGAUUUUUUAUUUGUACUUUUAAGAAUAAAGCAAUAGGGUAGGACAUAAGACUUACUUUCACUCAAUGCACUGGGUACAUGAGUCCCCUCAUGCAUAUUCUUUGUUCACACUUGCACAGGAGUGAAACAACCUUGAAGUCCCCAGUAUGUGUCACACAUGCCAAAUAUGAUAGAAUAAUUUGUGGGAAUAAGGGAUGAGGAUGGUGAGGAAACUGAAGUAGGGUUUUCUGAUUUGUAUAUUAAAAAUGAGUUACAAGGAACAGUUAGAAUCACAGAACAUGUUCCAUUUGUGUUUGAUCCUCUUGACCUAUGGAGUUUUUUUUUGUUUUGUUUAUUGUUUUCCCCAUAUUUUCAUUUGAUGUCUGGAGGGGAAAUCAGACUGUAAAGUUGAGAUUGGUAAAGUCCUACAUGCUAAUCCCUUUGAGCUGCUUAACAAUAAGUUACAGUGUUACCGUGAUGCCUUUGGAAAUUCUUUGUAUUAUUUUUCCUUUUUACUAUGAUAAUAAGACCUUCUGAAUCAUAAUAGAAUUUAUGAUAUUAAAUACUUUAAGAGAGAUCAUUUA
Chelonia mydas (Green sea turtle) is the source of this 2916-nucleotide long non-coding RNA. RefSeq lists it as uncharacterized. NCBI's taxonomy places the organism in Eukaryota, Metazoa, Chordata, Testudines, Cheloniidae. The transcript has 3 exons. The record is from RefSeq and is a predicted model, not a curated record.